UGUUAAAGAUUAAGCCAUGCAUGUGUAAGUAUAAAGACAAAACAAGAUGAAACUGCGGACGGCUCAUUACAACAGUUAUAGUUUCUUUGGUUAGUAAGAUAAGGAUAACUCUGUUAAUUGUAGAGCUAAUACUUGAGACACUCCUUAGUCACGUGGCUAAGGCGACCUGACAGCGUCAGGUAAGAAUCAUCUCUUAUUGAAGGAUGAGAUGAGGACAAUUGUAGAAGGCCAGGAAUUUAACAAGUAACCAAUGAGAAUAUCUGACCUAUCAACUCGAUGGUAAGGUAGUGGCUUACCAUGGUGAUAACGGGUAACGAGAAAUAAGGGUUUGAAAUCGGAGAGGGAGCCUUCAAAAUGGCUACCACUUCUAAGGAAGGCAGCAGGCGCGAAAAUUACCCACUUCAGACGAUGAGAGGUAGUGACGACAAAUAACUAAAACCGGUGCACAGCAUCGAGUUUUGGGGAUGAGCCAGAAACAAAGACUCUGGCGAACGCGAUUGGAGGGCAAGUCUGGUGCCAGCAGCCGCGGUAAUUCCAGCUCCAAUAGUGUAUAUUAAAGUUGUUGUGAUUAAAAAGCUCGUAGUUGAAAGGCAAGGAGAGUAGGCACUGCCAGCCGAGAGCAUUCGUGUGCUUGGCGGCGGGGCCUAGAUUCUCAAACACUCGAGCGCAGCUGUUCGCAGCUACGCCAGAGACAUUUACUUUGAAAAAAUAUGAGUGUUUAAAGCAAAGCAUAAGCUAAUGAAAUAUGAAGCAUGGGAUAAUAGCGAGGGGAUUGCGGUUGAGGUUGGCAACUGCCAAGCAAGACUGCGAUAACGAGAGAAGGAUUAAUAGAAAGAGAUGGGGUGAUUUAUACGGAAAUGGGAGAGGUGGAAUUUCAUGAUCAUUUCAGGAUAAACAAGAGCGAAAGCAUUUCACUUAAAUCUAUUCAUUAAUCAAGAACGAAAGUUAGGGGAUCGAAGACGAUUAGAUACCGUCGUAGUCCUAACUAUAAACGAUGUCAACCGAGGAUUGGAAUGAAUAACGACACUCUUGCGGGUGCCUCGCGCACAAGCAGAGUGUUAGAGAAACUCAGUUCAGCACUCAGCGGGAAACCGGGAGUUAAUGGACUUCAGGGGGAGUAUGGUCGCAAGGCUGAAACUUAAAGGAAUUGACGGAAGGGCACACAAGGGGUGGAGCUUGCGGCUUAAUUUGACUCAACACGGGAAAACUUACCAAGACCAAACAUCAAGAGGAAUGACAGACUAAGGGACCUUUCAUGAUAAGAUGAGGAGUGGUGCAUGGCCGUUCUUAGUUGGUGGAGUGAUUUGUCAGGUUAAUUCCGAUAACGAACGAGACUUUAAUCUCUAAUUGGAUGAGCGUGCUCCAGUACGCCCAGCAGCAAUGCCCUCUGCGGAGGUCGACUUAGAGAGACAUAUCAUCAAUUUUCCAGAGAAACCUUCGGGUUUGAUGGAAGAAGAGAUAGGAAGGAAAGCAAUAACAGGUCUGUGAUGCCCUUAGACAUCUUGGGCUGCACGCGUGCUACAAUAGUAGCCAUAAAGAGCACAACGGCAAUGCAAUAGCGGAAGCGAUCCUUCGGGAGGCAACCGGACUAGGCAGGCCGACCGAAUCCGAAAGGAGGAGGGAAACUCGAAAGGGUACUGUACCAGGGAUUGACGAUUGAAAUUAUUCGUCAUGAACGAGGAAUCCCUUGUAAAAUUUCGUCACUAACGAAAGUUGAAUACGUCCCUGCCCUUUGUACACACCGCCCGUCGCUCCUACCGAUUGAAUGAGAAGGUGAAGGUUUAGGAGGAAGUGACCACGUCACACCGAAUGGAUCUAAAUCUCUUCAUUUAGAGG
This 1836-nucleotide ribosomal RNA is filed under the name uncultured Entamoeba. RNAcentral describes it as "partial 18S ribosomal RNA". It matches the Rfam family "Eukaryotic small subunit ribosomal RNA". Lineage: Eukaryota; Evosea; Mastigamoebida; Endamoebidae. The record is from RNAcentral.